UCCAGUUCUGGGAGCAGAGGGAGCAGAAUUUGGGGUCUCUCUCUCCCACAACUGGACUGGACAGGCCAGAGGAGAGCCCUGGGGGUGUCCCAAGGCUCAUAAAGGGCCGGUUAGAGUGGGUAAGAAGGGCCCCCCUUUGGCCCGACGCCUGGGGAGCCCCUUAAGAGGGGGCUACGGGUCGGGGGAGGGGUCACUAUCCCCCUAAGCCGGGGUUGGGCGGGAGGAAGUGCUGCCCCGAAGAGGGUUCAACGCGAACGAGACACUGGGUCGCGGGACAGGCACACUCACGGCGGCUCCGGGGCGGCGGCGUUACUUGGGGCCGGGGCUCGGACAGGCUCCGCUCCUCUCCCCCCGGCGGUGUCCCAGGCUCCGGCCUCCACUUCCGCCUUUCAGCCGCUCCGGAUCCGGAUCUCCACCUCAGACCCGCCCCUCAAUACUCCCAGGUGACUGACAGGGCGGAGAGACCAAUGGGAGGCCCUCUUGACCGAUUUACAGGCGACGCCUGUGGGGGGCACGGGCGAGGCGGGAGAGCGCGCGCGAGGGACGGCGGGACUUGUAGUUCAGAGAACUGGGAGGAGCCGGUGGCCGCCUGGGACUUAGGGUUAGGGUGGAGCCCGC
Molecule: long non-coding RNA, 618 nt
Filed under: Lynx pardinus (Iberian lynx)
Lineage: Eukaryota; Metazoa; Chordata; Mammalia; Carnivora; Felidae
Source: RNAcentral